GAUGAACGCUCGCGAUAGGCUUAACACAUGCAAGUCGAGGGGCAGCACAAGGUAGCUUGCUAUCUGGGUGGCGACCGGCGCACGGGUGCGUAACGCGUAUGCAACUUGCCCUAUACAGGAGGAUAACCCGUCGAAAGACGGACUAAUACUGCGUAUGCUCACAACUUGGCAUCAAGUGGUGAGGAAAGAAAUUCGGUAUAGGAUAGGCAUGCGUCCCAUUAGCUUGUUGGUGAGGUAACGGCUCACCAAGGCAACGAUGGGUAGGGGAACUGAGAGGUUUAUCCCCCACACUGGUACUGAGACACGGACCAGACUCCUACGGGAGGCAGCAGUGAGGAAUAUUGGUCAAUGGGCGCGAGCCUGAACCAGCCAAGUCGCGUGAAGGAUGACUGUCUUAUGGAUUGUAAACUUCUUUUAUACGGGAAUAACAAGAGUCACGUGUGACUCCCUGCAUGUACCGUAUGAAUAAGCAUCGGCUAACACCGUG
RNAcentral lists this ribosomal RNA (487 nucleotides) under uncultured bacterium. RNAcentral's name for it is "partial 16S ribosomal RNA". It matches the Rfam family "Bacterial small subunit ribosomal RNA", at positions 28 to 507 of the family's 1533-position model. The record is from RNAcentral.